GUCUAAGGCCAUACCACCCUGAGAAUGCCCGAUCUCAUCUGAUCUCGAAAGCUAAGCAGGGUUGGGCCUGGUUAGUACUUGGAUGGGAGACCUCCUGGGAAUACCAGGUGCUGUAAGCU
This is a ribosomal RNA of Colossoma macropomum (tambaqui), 119 nucleotides long. The record is from RefSeq and is a predicted model, not a curated record. Lineage: Eukaryota; Metazoa; Chordata; Actinopteri; Characiformes; Serrasalmidae.